AGCCAGUAGCUCCUCCCACUUCCCGUGGUUUUCGGUUGAACCGAAACCUGGCCGUUGGCUGAGCGAGCGCGGGGUGUUUGGGAUGCGGCACGGCGAGGGGGAGCAGGCUUGGCUCGGGCGUAGGGAAUUGGUUUUUUUGUUUUAGCUAUCCAGGUUGUGACUGGUUUACAUAAUUACACGAUUAAGCCAUCAUUGUAGGAAAGGCUUUGCAGGAGAAAAAUGUCUUAACUGGAGGUCUUUGAGACAGAAAAACCCUGCCUCAGCCCUUGGGUCCUGAGAGUCGCGUUUCUUCUCCCCUUCGCUUAAAUAUGUAAACCAGAAUCAUUAUGUUUGGUUCAUGGAACGGAGGAAAAAAAUCCGUGUGCAGGGUCGAGACUGUCGUGGCGGAAGCCGCAGCACCCGGGAGGCAGAAAGUUGAGCUCAGACGGUCACCCGCCAAUUACCUUCUGCUGUGCGGCCCAGUUCCUAACAGGCCAUGAACAGGAAAAGGAAACCUGGACACAGGCACGUAUGAGGGAAGACAAUGUGGAGAGGCAAGGAGAAGAUGGCCACCUGCAAGCCAAGGAGAGAGGCCUGGAACACACUCUUACUUCAUGGCCCUCAGAAGGAGGCCACCCUGUCAACACCUUGAGCUCAGACUUCAGCCUCCAGAGCUGUGAAAAAAGAAAUUUUUGUUGUUUAAGCCCCUCAGUUUGGGGUAAUUUCUUAUGGUGGCCCUAGCCAAUGAAUACAGGUCCCAAAUAACUCUUCA
RNAcentral lists this long non-coding RNA (751 nucleotides) under Homo sapiens (human). RNAcentral's name for it is "HSALNT0304961". The record is from RNAcentral. Lineage: Eukaryota; Metazoa; Chordata; Mammalia; Primates; Hominidae.